Molecule: ribosomal RNA, 253 nt
Filed under: uncultured bacterium
Lineage: Bacteria
Description: partial 16S ribosomal RNA
Rfam family: Bacterial small subunit ribosomal RNA
Source: RNAcentral
UACAGAGGGUGCGAGCGUUGUCCGGAAUCACUGGGCGUAAAGGGCGCGUAGGCGGCUUCUCAAGCGUGCGGUGAAAGCUCGGGGCUUAACUCCGAGUCUGCCGUGCGAACUGGGAGGCUUGAGUCUGGUAGAGGUCGAUGGAAUUCCGGGUGUAGCGGUGGAAUGCGUAGAUAUCAGGAGGAACACCGGUGGCGAAGGCGGGUCUCUGGGCCGAUACUGACGCUGAGGAGCGAAAGCGUGGGGAGCAAACAGG